CGAUGGAGGGGGAUAACUACUGGAAACGGUAGCUAAUACCGCAUAACGUCGCAAGACCAAAGAGGGGGACCUUCGGGCCUCUUGCCAUCGGAUGUGCCCAGAUGGGAUUAGCUAGUAGGUGGGGUAACGGCUCACCUAGGCGACGAUCCCUAGCUGGUCUGAGAGGAUGACCAGCCACACUGGAACUGAGCACGGUCCAG
Molecule: ribosomal RNA, 200 nt
Filed under: uncultured bacterium
Lineage: Bacteria
Description: partial 16S ribosomal RNA
Rfam family: Bacterial small subunit ribosomal RNA
Source: RNAcentral